ACGGGUGAGUAAUGCAUGGGAAUCUGCCUUUUGCUGGGGGAUAACGUAGGGAAACUUACGCCAAUACCGCAUAAGACCUGAGGGUGAAAGUGGGGGACCGUAAGGCCUCACGGCAGAAGAUGAGCCCAUGUCGGAUUAGCUAGUUGGUGGGGUAAAGGCCUACCAAGGCGACGAUCCGUAGCUGGUCUGAGAGGAUGAUCAGCCACACUGGGACUGAGACACGGCCCAGACUCCUACGGGAGGCAGCAGUGGGGAAUUUUGGACAAUGGGCGCAAGCCUGAUCCAGCCAUGCCGCGUGUCUGAAGAAGGCCUUCGGGUUGUAAAGGACUUUUGUCAGGGAAGAAAAGGCUUUUGCUAAUACCAGGAGCUGAUGACGGUACCUGAAGAAUAAGCACCGGCUAAAUAUGUGCCAGCAGCCGCGGUAAUACAUAUGGGGCGAGCGUUAUCCGGAUUUAUUGGGUGUAAAGGGUGCGUAGGCGGGAAAAUAAGUCAGUAUGUGAAAUCCCUCGGCUCAACUGAGGAACUGCAACUGAAACUAUUUUUCUUGAGUGUUGAAGGGGAAAGUGGAAUUCCUAGUGUAGCGGUGAAAUGCGUAGAGAUUAGAGGAACACCAGUGGCGAAGGCGACUUUCUGGGCAACAACUGACGCUGAGGCACGAAAGUGUGGGGAGCAAACAGGAUUAGAUACCCUGGAGUCCA
This 698-nucleotide ribosomal RNA is filed under the name uncultured bacterium. RNAcentral describes it as "bacterial SSU rRNA". It matches the Rfam family "Bacterial small subunit ribosomal RNA", at positions 102 to 797 of the family's 1533-position model. The record is from RNAcentral.